This 69-nucleotide small RNA is filed under the name Chryseobacterium indoltheticum. Its description in RNAcentral is "Flavo-1 RNA". It matches the Rfam family "Flavo-1 RNA". The record is from RNAcentral. Lineage: Bacteria; Pseudomonadati; Bacteroidota; Flavobacteriia; Flavobacteriales; Weeksellaceae.
ACCUAGCCCUGAUUGUAGUGAAAAUCCUUUUUUUGAAAAAAAAGAUUGCAACGAAAAGCAGGAAAAAGC